GAAGAAGAUGAGCAGCCUGUGUAUGAGGAGGAAGAAGAUCAGGCAGUUUUUGAGGACGAAGAAGAACUACGACGGCUCGAGGAGCCAGAGGAACAGCAAAGUGAGGUAGCUGCCUGUUUCCUGUGUCUUUGGUUUUUGCCCUUUCAACGAGUCAAAACGUUCCCUUCUCUCCAUGCAGCAUGAAUUUCACCCACCCCUUCCAACCCCCCGUAGUAAUUUGUAGGUGUGGCGCAUGACUUCCCCUGACCUGGUAUAUCUGUGUGUCUUCCUACAUGUUCCUGCAGCAUCUACUAGAUGUACUCAAAAUCCAGUUAUAUCAGGUGUUCAGUUCUCCUUGUUCAUAGUGACAUGCAGCAACAGCAAUCUAAAACAAGGAUAGUGUUAUUUAUUUCCAUUUUGGAGUGUAAACUUGGAACAUCUUAAAACUUAUAUUCCACACUCCCCCCUUUUGUAGGAAGAAGAAGAA
Megalops cyprinoides (Indo-Pacific tarpon) is the source of this 466-nucleotide long non-coding RNA. RefSeq lists it as uncharacterized. The transcript has 4 exons. Lineage: Eukaryota; Metazoa; Chordata; Actinopteri; Elopiformes; Megalopidae. The record is from RefSeq and is a predicted model, not a curated record.